RNAcentral lists this ribosomal RNA (253 nucleotides) under uncultured bacterium. RNAcentral describes it as "partial 16S ribosomal RNA". It matches the Rfam family "Bacterial small subunit ribosomal RNA", at positions 524 to 776 of the family's 1533-position model. The record is from RNAcentral.
UACGAAGGGUGCAAACGUUGCUCGGAAUCAUUGGGCGUAAAGCGCACGUAGGCGGCCUUUUAAGUCGGAUGUGAAAUCCCUCGGCUCAACCGAGGACGUGCAUUCGAAACUGGCAAGCUCGAGUAUGGAAGAGGGUCGCGGAAUUCCCGGUGUAGAGGUGAAAUUCGUAGAUAUCGGGAGGAACACCAGUGGCGAAGGCGGCGAACUGGGCCAAUACUGACGCUGAGGUGCGAAAGCGUGGGGAGCAAACAGG